UACAGAGGGUGCAAGCGUUGUUCGGAAUCAUUGGGCGUAAAGGGCGCGUAGGCGGUCCCACAAGUCGAAUGUGAAAGCCCAGGGCUCAACCUUGGAAGUGCAUUCGAAACUAGGGGGCUUGAGUCUCGGAGAGGGUGGUGGAAUUCCCAGUGUAGAGGUGAAAUUCGUAGAUAUUGGGAGGAACACCGGUGGCGAAGGCGACCACCUGGACGAAGACUGACGCUGAGGCGCGAAAGCGUGGGGAGCAAACAG
This 252-nucleotide ribosomal RNA is filed under the name uncultured bacterium. RNAcentral's name for it is "partial 16S ribosomal RNA". It matches the Rfam family "Bacterial small subunit ribosomal RNA", at positions 524 to 775 of the family's 1533-position model. The record is from RNAcentral.